CUGGUUAAAAACACAGCAGCCAAUAAUUCAGUUAAUUUACCAAGUGAUUUACCCUUCAAAGCUGCAGGGGUAGCUUUCCUGAAGAGUGCAAAAACUUCUUUAGCUUUCAAAACAGUAUAUAGUACAAACAGUGAAGCUAAUAUAGACAAAUCUGAUCAUUCAUCAUCAACAAUAACUGCAUCUGAGAAUUAUAGUUCUACAGUAACCGUGGGGUCUAGGUCAACAAUUACUAUUUCUCAUCCAAGCCGUUUUUGUUUAACUGCUACACAUUCCCUGACUCUGCCAAGGAAAAGGGCAAAAUCAAAAUGAUAUCCUGAGGACCUAAGCACUGAUGAUUCCACCGUUUCAAAAGCUAAAUCACUUGUCACCAGAUUAUGGAAAAAAAAUAAAGAACAAAAAAUUAAAAUUCGAGGAUUGCAACAAGCAAAUUUGCGCCAAAGAAAUUGAAUUAGAUGUCUCAAGUCA
Anthonomus grandis grandis is the source of this 465-nucleotide long non-coding RNA. RefSeq lists it as uncharacterized. NCBI's taxonomy places the organism in Eukaryota, Metazoa, Arthropoda, Insecta, Coleoptera, Curculionidae. The transcript has 3 exons. The record is from RefSeq and is a predicted model, not a curated record.